Molecule: ribosomal RNA, 434 nt
Filed under: uncultured bacterium
Lineage: Bacteria
Description: partial 16S ribosomal RNA
Rfam family: Bacterial small subunit ribosomal RNA
Source: RNAcentral
AGCGAACGCUGGCGGCAGGCCUAACACAUGCAAGUCGAACGAACCUUUCGGGGUUAGUGGCGGACGGGUGAGUAACACGUGGGAACGUGCCUUUAGGUUCGGAAUAACUCAGGGAAACUUGUGCUAAUACCGAAUGUGCCCUUCGGGGGAAAGAUUUAUCGCCUUUAGAGCGGCCCGCGUCUGAUUAGCUAGUUGGUUGAGGUAAUGGCUCACCAAGGCGACGAUCAGUAGCUGGUCUGAGAGGAUGAUCAGCCACAUUGGGACUGAGACACGGCCCAAACUCCUACGGGAGGCAGCAGUGGGGAAUCUUGCGCAAUGGGCGAAAGCCUGACGCAGCCAUGCCGCGUGAAUGAUGAAGGUCUUAGGAUUGUAAAAUUCUUUCACCGGGGACGAUAAUGACGGUAGCCGGAGAAGAAGCCCCGGCUAACUUCGUG